CUGGUGAGUAACACGUGGGUGAUCUGCCUUGUACUCUGGGAUAAGCUUGGGAAACUGGGUCUAAUACCGGAUAGUAGCCGCCUUUAGUGUGGUGGUUGGAAAGUUUUUUCGGUGCAAGAUGAGCUCGCGGCCUAUCAGCUUGUUGGUGGGGUAAUGGCCUACCAAGGCGUCGACGGGUAGCCGGCCUGAGGGGGUGUACGGCCACAUUGGGACUGAGAUACGGCCCAG
This 228-nucleotide ribosomal RNA is filed under the name uncultured Actinomycetales bacterium. RNAcentral describes it as "partial 16S ribosomal RNA". It matches the Rfam family "Bacterial small subunit ribosomal RNA", at positions 105 to 334 of the family's 1533-position model. Lineage: Bacteria; Bacillati; Actinomycetota; Actinomycetes; Actinomycetales. The record is from RNAcentral.